RNAcentral lists this ribosomal RNA (223 nucleotides) under uncultured bacterium. RNAcentral describes it as "partial 16S ribosomal RNA". It matches the Rfam family "Bacterial small subunit ribosomal RNA", at positions 524 to 744 of the family's 1533-position model. The record is from RNAcentral.
UACGUAGGGUGCAAGCGUUGUCCGGAAUUAUUGGGCGUAAAGAGCUCGUAGGCGGUCUGUCGCGUCUGCUGUGAAAACUCAGGGCUUAACCCUGAGCUUGCAGUGGGUACGGGCAGACUAGAGUGCGGUAGGGGAGACUGGAAUUCCUGGUGUAGCGGUGAAAUGCGCAGAUAUCAGGAGGAACACCGGUGGGCGAAGGCGGGUCUCUGGGCCGGUAACUGAC